Long non-coding RNA from Loxodonta africana (African savanna elephant), 7881 nucleotides. RefSeq lists it as uncharacterized. The record is from RefSeq and is a predicted model, not a curated record. Lineage: Eukaryota; Metazoa; Chordata; Mammalia; Proboscidea; Elephantidae. The transcript has 2 exons.
UGGAACAAGCAACCUGAAGCCAGAAGGUCAAGCUGAGGCUGCUUGUGAGGGCUGUUGGGGAGGGAGUGUGUAAAUACAGUGGGAAGACGACCUAGGAGGAGAUAGCCAAGGGCCCUUGUAGUUCUGUGGUUCCAUAGGAAGGACGUGGUCUGGAAGGAGAGCAGUAAGCUUGUUGUUAGGAAACACAAUUCCUGCUCCUCAUUGAGAAGCUGUUGCAGUAGCAGAGGAAGAUGCUUAGUGGGGAGAUGAGUGAAGCUAUUUGGAGCUUGGAGCAUUCUCCUAUAGCCUCAACUUCGUCACUUGGCCAUAUCUAACCUGGAGGUCCAGAAAAAGAUUUAGUUAGACAGCUAAAUAUUGGGGUUCUGCAGCGAAGGAAGAUGAGGAGAGUGGAUAUUGGAAAGUAACUGGCGGUCUGCCUCAGGAAACGGAACCUUUAAAUACGUAAUAGGUUUGACUGAAUUGUAUGGAAUGGGACAGAAAGAGGAAGCAGUGGAGGAAUCGGGGAAACUCAGUUUUCUAGCUUAGGUGCCACCAACUGGUUUAGAGAGUUCAGGAAGAGAUGCAGAUUCUGUGGGAAGCUGAUGGGUUCAGUUUGCAUACAGUUCUUGUACCAAAUAUUGAGCACUACUAUGUGCCAGGCACUCAGCUGUGUGCUUUUCAUACAAAAACCCUAUUAGAGAGAUAUUGUCCCCAUUUUAGAGUUGAGGAAACUGUGACUUGAUGUGAAAUGGGUUGUUGAAGGUCCUAAAGCUCUUAACUCCUUCUCUUUCUCUCACCCUUCACCCUUCAUGUUUGAUGCCUGGGAGGCCUCCCAAUGAAGCCUGACAGCUGGAUGUCAGACCUACACUGUUGACGGAGAGGUCUGGACUGAAGGUGUAUUUCCAUUCAUCUCAAGUCUAUUGGGUUCGCUUUUUCCUAUUCUUUCUAGCAUCCUCUUUUCCUUGUCUAGUAAACUGUCCUGACUUUGACAAGUUUAAUACCCCUAUUUUCAUAUAUCCUUCCGUCUCUCUCUCCUCAUGCACCAUCUUUUAACAUCAAAGAAGUUAUUGGUGAGUUGGAGGAUGGAUGGGAGCGUAGGGCCAGGUGAGAAAUGGGUUAUACCAUCCCUGACAAGGGUGGUAAGUGGCUACCUGCAGAUUAAAAGCUGAGCCCCCCAUAUUUGGGUGGAGCUGGGAUUGUUGUCUUUCCUUAAACUGGUAAACAAAGCAAUAUUGAUUGUUAUGGCAAUGGGCAACGGGGUUACAGAUUAGUUAGGAGCCCUGCUGGCAUAGGGAUUAAAGCGGUUCAAUUAAAGCGGUUCGCUGCUAACCCAAAGGUUGGCCAUUUGAACCCACCAGCCACUCCUUGGGAGAAAGAUGUGGCAAUCUGCUUCCAUAAAGAUUUAAAGCCUUGGAAAUCCUGUGGGGUAGUCCUCCUCUGUCCUGUAGGGUCUCCAUGAGUCGGAAUCAACUCAACGGCAACAGGUUGGUUUAGUUAGAGAUUAGUAGCAGCCAUGGUCUCAUCUACCUCAUAACAGCUUUACCUAGAGCUGUUAUAUCAAUUUAUUUGGGUCUUACCAGAGUUCUGGAUUUUUUUUUUUUUUUAAUCAAUAUUUUGUGCCUGUGUCUACAAAAUACUGUUGCUGAGAAAUGUUUCUAGUGGGAAACAAAGGCACAAAUAUUCUAGGGUAUAUUUCCAUGGCUUACAAUGAAAAGAAGCAAGAUUGAGAUGUCAGGGAGCGAAUUGGCCAGCCCCUCAGCCACACCUCACUGGGUGGCUAGCCAUAUCUGUGUGAGGUCACUGUGGCCCAGGGUUUUGUCCGAAGAGUUUCCUCUGUAGAAGCUGGAUUUUGGCAGUGUACCCAUAGACAGUCAAGCUUAGAAGACUGAGGUACAAACCAAACUGGUAAAAGAGAAUGAGUAUGAUAUAUAAACUAGGAUGCCAAUGUGAUACAUUUCCAGGAGGAUCACAAUUGUGAGUCAGAAUAUUUAGGUUGGCUUACCAGCAAAUUCUCUCUGUUAUAGAAGGUGCGUGAUCAUUAGAAGGCUACUGUACAUGGUGGAACAGAGAAAAGAGAAUGCCAGCUAUUAUAAUUGCUACUAUCAUGGGCCAAGGUAGCCUGUUACAUCAGUUUCUCAAUAAGUUAUUAAUUUAUUCUCGCUCAGAAGGUAACUUUUUUUCCAAGAUAUGAGGGCCCCUUACUACAAGGUUACACAACUGGUUUGCACUUGACUAUGGAAGAAAGGCCUGGCAGUCUGCAUCCGUAAAGAUUACAGCCAAGAAAACCCUACCCUGUAACAUACGGGGUCGCCAUGAGUCAGAAUCAGAAUCAACUUGCCGGCGAUGGGUAUUUUUUUUUUUUUUAACAUAAUAUAGUGUGGUUACAGUUUCUGAUAUCCUGCUGUUCUUUACCCCACCUACCUCUUGUUUUCACACCUUCGAGAGGGAUUUUCCAGAAUAAAUUUUUUGAUUCACCCUCUUUUUUUAGUUUUGGGAAGGGGUGGUGGCAAAUAAAUAGUUUGAAACCUAUCUCAGAUGUAAGGUCCUGCCUUUGGUAUCUCCUUUGCUCCCUUCUCAUUACAAACCAGGUCAGGGAUUCGUAACCUCUUGAGAUGUAACCAGAUUUUUAAAAUUCAGUACCAAAACUAGAAUGUAAGGUAUCUCAAUAUUUUUUUACUUCGUAACAUGUUGAAAUGAUAAUAUUUUGGAUAUGUUUGGCUAAAUAUAUUAUUAAAAUUGUUUCUCCUAUUUCUUCCUGCAACUAGAAAAUUUUCAGUUGUGUAUGUGGCUCACAUAGUAGAGUGCUGCUCUACGGAUUGUGGAAAUGUCAUUUCAUGAAUGCCUGCAUGAGGUAGGCUAUCCCAUAAAAAGGUACUUUUUAACAACAGAGUUUUGAGAUGUACCUAAUAACUUGAAUACUGAUGGAAAUUAGGCGUAUUUCUUCUCUUCAUUCCCUUUACUAAUAAGUUAGGGUAUUUCCGAAACUAUUGAGAAGUACACAAAAGCCCAAAACUUCCUCCACAUUCUUUUCUUUUUUAAUGCUGAUUCAGUUUUAUUCCAUAAAACUGCUACUUCCUUUUAAAUUGACUUUACUGUGACUUUUCUGCAUCACAAAGUGGAAGGACUCUCCAAGUGUGACUGCUGAAGCAUAAAGGACCCUGUGAAUCUCUUUGAGAGGCUGGCUUUCUGUCCCCAUGUGUGAAGUAGCACUUUACAUGGUGGGGUCAUUUGUAAAUAUUAGUCUUCUAAGUAAUAAUUUCUUAGGAUGAUUCUUUUUCUUAUUUCCACAUUAGUUAACUUACAGACUCUUAUCUAAAACACUUGAAUCCAAAGUUUUGUUGCCAAUGUUAUUGAGGAGAUUGAGUGUUCUAGUUGGAAAGUGAUUUAAUUGAGAGAAACUUGAAAGAAUAUACCAGACUACCUGAAAAUCUUGUUUUUUAUUCCUUGGCUUAUUAGUUAUAUGAUCAUAAGCAAUUCAUUUAAUAUAUCUGAGCUUAAGUUUCAUCAAAUCUAAGGACAAAAUGUGUGUGUGUGUUUGUGUUGGGGAGAUACUAUGAAAUUCCAAACUGAAUUCGUAAUUCUGACAAGGACCAUUCUUAUUUGACUUUAUAGCCCCUGGUAUAGCUGGCUGAUGGUGAAUACUUGUUGAAGAUAGAAAGAAAUGAGCGAUUUUGACUUUCGGUUGUCUGUGCUUGUCUUAGGACUCAGUAGAGAAAACCUGAAGAACAAUGAAAGGGAUAUGAAAUUCUUGGUUGAUCUACUUCUAAUUGUGGGGUAGCUUGUCUUACUAUCCCGACAUGAAGUGAUCCUUAGCCUGCGUUUGGCAUAUUCUUACAUAACACCUCUCUCAUAGUUUCCUACUUUUAUUCUAAUACAUGUACAUGUAUUAAAUUAUAAGCUUUUAUAUAUGGGGGAUACUUCUUUGUAAUUCUCAGCAUGAGGCUUGGCAUUACACCAUGAGGACAGCUAUUUGAUCACCUACUUCUCUUCCCUGGCUGGACCCGAGAUCAUUGAAAUUCCUUCGUAGCUUUAAACGAAUAAUUUCUUUAGUAAGAAUCAGCACAAAGCUGGUUCCUAUGAGGUGGAGGUUAAAGAUGUCUUAAAUGUCCAACUUCUCCAAGCUGCUGUACCACUCCAUCAUCUCUACCACCAACUACUCUCCCUCCCCUCAGUACUCUUCCUCUUUUUGGGGGGUUCGGUAAUUUGCUGCAACGUCUCACGGAACUCACAAACUACUUACAGUUAAAUGGUUUAUUAGGGAAGUAACAGUGCAACUCGGAAUCAGGAUCGACUCAGAAGUAACAGUAACAACUCAGGAGACAAUACACAGUUCAUCAAUGAGGACAGCUUCCAACCAAGACAGCUCUCAGAUCUUUCUCGGCUGUGCCCGCAGGCCAAAUCUACCUGAAUGAAUCAGCCUCCAUAAAGCACCUCACCAGGCACUUGGUAAGGUCUUAAUAAAUGAAUAUACUAGAGUAUCAUUUUAAAUAAUUGCUCUGCUCCUGUCUCGUUCUACACAAUGAUGGUCUUUCUCUGCCGUUUCCUGACACAGAGCUCAAUUGUUCUGGAUCUGCUGUCUGUGUUAGGAAAAACCCAAACCCAAACCUUUCCCUGAGGGGCUUCGUUCCUUGACCUUUGACCCAGAACUUGACUUCUCUAAUUUCUAAACCACCAUUAAUCACUCAUAAAAUGAGGGUUGACUGGAUUUUCCUAAGGGUUUCAUCUAUGUCUAAUAGUGUCUAGGGCCAUGAAUCACAGAAUCUAAGAAAAAUUGACAAUCUCCUCUAGUACUUGGAGUAGUCAUGGCUAUAAAAAUAUUGUAUAGAAGAAAUUUUUACAUUCUGUCUUCUGAGGAAUGCAGUUAUGCUCUCUAGGCUGGAGACAGAAGUUGGUGAAAGGGCUGGAGGGUGACAGGUGGAGUCAAGAUGGGGCCAUGAGCGGAACUAGAGGAAAAGUUAAGAGGGUGUCUAAACCGGUAAACUCUGAACCAGUAAAUCUUGGAAUACAGUUGGGUGUACUUAAAUGAUUUUGUAGUGAAGCAAUUAUAUUUCCCAUUAGGACUCUACACUAAUUUACGGCUGUAAACAUCACAAGGAAUUCUAGCUGGCCUUUUUUUUUUUUUUUAAGCAAAUGUUAGUUCGCCCUUAUCCUCCACAUAUUCCCAGCCAUGUCCAUAUCAGAAGCAGGGGGGAGGAUUAAAUUUACAUCCAUUUGCCUGCAUCCAUAUCUGGUGCAAGAGGUGACUGUGAAGAAUUUAGUCUUUACUCUGGAGAGAUGGACUCCCAGGGAAUUACUGACAUACAGGCAAGGAAAGUGCCAGGGGUAGUGCAAAUGGAACACGAACUGCCCCUUGCCCUAAGAGCUGACCCCUGGUCAGGUACUGUUGUCUAGGCCAUGAGAUUAAAGAUGUGUCUCCUCUGGUGUGUCCCCCACACCCUUCUCAGCUGAACCUAGCUACAGUUUGCAAGUUUGGAGGGAGGAAGGAAUGACACCUCCUUCGCUUGCUUUGCCUGUAAGUUUGGGCAGAAAAUCCCAAUGGGAAAGCUGGAACGCAUGUACAUGGUUAUUAUAUGAGAGGCAAGUGCUAGGUGGUGGAGGGUAAAGUGCUCUCGGUAUGCACAGCCUCCCUCCCUCACCUGACCCCAGCUAACCCCUGGGGGCAGGAACUUUUCCUUGUGCAGGCCUUGCUUGCUGCUGUUUUUCUCUUAGAAUCAGCCCACUCUUAUUUCCAGAGUGGAGUUGGACUAUCCUUUGGGAGUUAUAGGGUGUCAUCUCUGGGAUUUGCUCCCACUGCAGAAAAACAAGCCCAGUUGCAAUGCACUCAGGUUUCUGAACAGCUGCCUGAGCACUCGAAACCAGACAGUCAGCAAAGCUGUCUGAAAGCAGGGACUCCCGGGAGGGGCGGCACGGGGCAGGGUCCCGGGUUGUGGGGUUGGGGAGACAUCCCGGGACCCGCCUAGAGGGUGAUGCUCACCAGGGUAGAGUCCUAGGGUGGGCUGUGGUGAGGGGGACUGGGAGAGGAGGCUCAGGAGGUGGGGCAUGCGCGGGAGCAGCUGUCCCAGCCGCCCCCUCCCUGCACCGCCGCUGGGCCGCUGCAUCGCAGCUGCCGCCAGGGUGCGGGCGCCCUCCCAGCCGAGGCAUGCGGGACGUGAGCUACGUGUGGCAGCCUCUGCUCCUGCUUUUCCACUGAAGUGUAUGUUUCUGGGAGCGGAGCUGUUUUCUCUCCCAAUCACAGCAUAACCUCAGUUUGAAAUAUGCAUCUCUCUGCAGGGCAGCGCUUCUGUACUUAUGCAUUGCAUGCUAACGUGAUGCCCGUUAGCCUCACAUGAAUGUAAUAGAACCGUGCAGACGACAGUGCCCCGCGAAAAGCACCCCAGAUCUUGACGAGACCAGGACUAAUCUGACUACACGACUGUCAGAUGUCGCGAAUCGAUGCUAAACUGAGAGGAACGGAAACUUAGAAAGGGCCCCGCACACACACACAAACAUACCCCAAAAAUUGGUGAGGAAAAGAUCUAGAGCUGUGCUGGUAAAUGUCAUGAAUUUUAGGGGUUUGCAUAAUCAAGGUGCCCGCCUCCCGAUAGUUACUCCUGGGCGUUUAGUCAGGUAAUGAUGCAUUUCAAGUCAGAUUGGUGGCUCAUUUUAUUUACUCUUUUACUAGGAGAGAAAAAGGUUUAUAUACUAUUCGGUAAAUGGUGAGUAUGGAAAACAAAAUGUGGAGCUUGUCAGUUUAGCCUCCCAGGCUUUCCUGCGCCCCCCUCAUGCCCAGCAACAUAGGCAGCCCGCAGGAGCCUGGCCUCCAGGUCUUGGGGCUGAGUGUGGUGGGAGCAAGUUCAGCACAAGUCAAGGUUUCUGAGGGAUUCAGGAAAGUGAGCGAGGUGUGAACGAAGGACCAAGGAAGUCCUCUUCCUGCGGUAGUAGCGGGGGUCGUGGUGGGUGAUGACUCAGCUAUUAUUAGGGGACACCUGUAGGCAAGGAACGACCCUGAGAGCUCUUCCCCACAGGUGCUCUCAGUAUCCUACCCUCCAGUUUCCCUCUAGGGUAGCAGACUCUCCCUCACCCCCCUCCUCCUGCGCUGGAACCUUUAUCCCUAAACCUGCGUCUUCAACUAGGCUGUGUCUGACCCGGGGCGCAUGUUACGUAAGAAUGCAGAGUGUUGGGCCCCACUCCCAGAAAGGCUGUAUCACCAAGAUGCAUUUUGACAAGCAUCCUAGGUGAUUCUGUUCUGUUGCGGAGGGGAGGGCGGUCCAUGGACCACAAGGAACAGCGCAGCUUCUCUCUCAGCAGUUGAGGCGACGGACUGGAAUUAUUCUAAGAAGUUGUGUCAGUUGUCCUUAGGGGAUAAAUAGGAGGCUAGAGAAGUUAGAGACCGUCAUCUAGGGCUGGACGUGGUCCCGCCUUACUUUUAGGGGGUUAUCAGAAGUGGGAGCGCGGGGUUAGUCGGGACUGGGUCUGGGUUGCAGGAGCAGGGAGCGCUGCUCUCAAGGGCCUGUAGGGGGCGUCAGAGGGACGCCUCCUGGCUUCCCCACCCCCUCUUCUCCCCCACGUGAAAAGGGGCUGGAACCAAAAGAAUGUGUCCCCGCCCCAAGACUGACGUGUGCGCCCUGCCGGCUUCAACUCUUAAAAAUACCAGUGGUGCGCGGGGCAUCCUCGCAGAGCUUGAGAGGCAGACGAGCAGGAGGGGAAGCGAAGCGCAGCAGGCUCGCAACUGGUGCACAUUCCGGCCAUACCCGGUGGAGACCGCGGCUGUCACGCCGCCCGGAGCAUUCCCGGCGUGCGAGCGCCCGGGCUUCCCAAAGUACACAAGCCCGACCCUGUGGGCGCUGCAAGUGCAGCUCCUGUAUCCCCAUCCCUCUUCCAGCGGCUUGUGGUGCGGAGCCUCACACACGUUGCCAGCGUUAA